UUGAGGAAGCGCAGCUGCGCAUUUGAUACGAUUACGACGCAAACAUUCGUUCGGAAGCACAGCCGCAUAUUUAUAUCGCAAAUUAAAUUAUUGAAUAUUGGGUCUCUUAGGUACCUACUAGGUGGUUGCUGAAACUUGCAAAUUUACUGUCUGUUGAGUGGUCAAGGUCUCUGAUUCACACCGGAACGAUGGAGGACCAGGCCCGCGCCAAAAAGGAAACCUUCGACAUUCUCACUGAAAUAUCGAAUAUCCUCAACACAGGCCUGGACGGCGAGACCCUCUCGAGGUGUGUCCGUCUCUGUGAGAACGGCGUCAACCCCGAGUCCCUGGCAAACGUGAUCAAGGAGCUGCGCCGAGAGUCGGCCGCUAUCCGAGAGGCGGAGAGCGUCACUCCGCCGCCCUAGCGGUGACUCGGGGAACUACUGUGGUGGCGCUGUGAUACACGGACGAGUGCCAGCAGCCGGACUGCCAUUUUAGGCAGAAGGCUGUGAUGGAUUCAGUGCUGGAAGGACUGACUGGGCAGCUGACUCCAGACGUUGUGAUGGAAUGGAUUGAGUGUUAUGCCAUGAUGAUAUGAACACGUAGGCCGUGUCAUUUGAUGAUAUGAACAUGUAGGUCCUUGUCAGUUCAUGCUUCAUCCUCGGUCUAGGAGAGUAGAUCUCACAUGUAGGUAGCGCCGAUAUUAAUUCGCGUAUUGCACAGCGAGCCCAAUCGAGAGAGAAUGAACCAAUGACUCUGUCAAUUGUCAUAAAGUUAAAGCACUGUUCAGACCCAGACGUCUCAACAUGCGACGUUCGCAUAGCGUUUGUGGAAACGGAAAACGACGUCUUCGAAUGUGUGUCGCCGGCGCGGUAAUGAUUGCUAACUGCUCAGGAUCUCGUAACAUAUUCUGCGACCGUUUGGCCGUUCACUUAUCAGUGCAUCAUUUGAAAGUAUAAUCUCGGCUGCCUCCUCUAUCUGUACUUAUGUCUGUCAUGCAAGCCGGUGUCAGUGAGCGUGUCGAGAAGCUUUGCGUGGCGUGCAGUAUUGAACUGCUAGCUCUACGGGUCACGUCUAUUCUUCUGUGACAUUUAGUGCAGACCUGCCAUUUGCUCGACGCUAAUACACAGUUCGACUAA
Molecule: long non-coding RNA, 1118 nt
Organism: Amphibalanus amphitrite
Lineage: Eukaryota; Metazoa; Arthropoda; Thecostraca; Balanomorpha; Balanidae
Exons: 3
Source: RefSeq, a predicted model, not a curated record